RNAcentral lists this ribosomal RNA (501 nucleotides) under Triticum aestivum (bread wheat). RNAcentral describes it as "partial small subunit ribosomal RNA". The record is from RNAcentral. Lineage: Eukaryota; Viridiplantae; Streptophyta; Magnoliopsida; Poales; Poaceae.
AUGGAAGGCCCCUUCCCGUUGCUCGUGCAUGAUCUUGGGAACCGUACCGAUGACUGCCAGACGCGGUUCAGCAUCUCUAACCAGGCCGUGAGCACCGCGGCCAUCCAUGAACUCAAGGACUACAGGUGCUUCGAGUCUCCACAGGGCUGGGUGCUCGCGCUGGAUCCUGCUUCCCUGCACACGUUCCUGUGGCGUCCUCAGGACGGACAGAGGAUCAGCCUUCCAUCCCCAAAACACGAAUUUCCCAGGAGGUGCAAGUGCCUGCUUUCUGACAAGACUAGCUCGACAUCCUCUUGCACUGUUCUGGUCCUCGAUCUUGACCUGCCUAAUCUGUUGGCGUGCCGGAUCGGAGGAAGCCAGUGGGACUCUUACAACUACGAGCUCACCAUAUUCCUCGCGGAUGACAAGCCCCGGGAGAUACAUAUGGCCAAACUUAAAGGCAUUGCUGCUGUUGGGGGCAAGGUCUACUAUACACGUUCACGGGACACGCCCUCGGAGUAG